The sequence is a transfer RNA, 122 nucleotides long. It matches the Rfam family "tRNA". Rfam says of the family: Transfer RNA (tRNA) molecules are approximately 80 nucleotides in length. Their secondary structure includes four short double-helical elements and three loops (D, anti-codon, and T loops). Further hydrogen bonds mediate the characteristic L-shaped molecular structure. tRNAs have two regions of fundamental functional importance: the anti-codon, which is responsible for specific mRNA codon recognition, and the 3' end, to which the tRNAs corresponding amino acid is attached (by aminoacyl-tRNA synthetases). tRNAs cope with the degeneracy of the genetic code in two manners: having more than one tRNA (with a specific anti-codon) for a particular amino acid; and 'wobble' base-pairing, i.e. permitting non-standard base-pairing at the 3rd anti-codon position. The record is from Rfam.
GGGAGUGUGGCCGAGUGGUUAAGGCGCCCGCUUCAGGUACUUGGGAAGUCUGCGGAUUUCUUCAAAAAGCCGGAUAUGCAGGUCUCUUUUAAGAGGCGCGAGUUCGAACCUCGUCACUUCCA